AGGAGCGGCUAAAGAUACAGUGCGGCUCCCUAAUUUGCGCGUGCGUGUCCUCAACUCCAACGUUGCCGUUUCCGAGAUAGUUUGAAGGACAAAUUACGUUGAGAAACAAGAAACGCGUCUAACUUCAAUUGUAUUUUGUAUUUGUCACUGUCACAUCUUUGAUCGGAUUAUUGGAUAUUGGAUUUAUUUUUAUAUUUUGGAUAUUUGGAUCUAAGUUGGUUAUAUACAGAUUAUGCAUGGUUUGACCCAAAUCAAUAUGAAACAAGGACAUUUAUUGAAGCUAUAAAUAUAAUUUGUAAAUAAUUUUAAACUGUUAAUUACAAGAAUCACAUAGACAUUCUUUAUAAUUAUUAAUUUAGACAUUUUUGUGUAGAAAUAAAUAUUUUUAGUAGGUAUAGAUAUAUAAGAUGUAAUUUCAAUUAAUUUGAAUGCACAAAUAUGCUUGUGAAAUUGUGGAAAAGCUUAGGAUUUGUUAAAAUUCUGGAUUAAAAAGUACAGUUCAAUUCAACAGAUAUAACAUAAUAUACGUAUGGCAUUAACAAUAUAAACAGGUUAAUACAAUAAAACAAAGGUUUUUGGAAUUUUAAUCCUUUAUUAUUUAGAUGUAGGGCCGGCACUUUAUGUCCCGGUUAAACCGCCAUUAGCUAACCGGGGUUUAAUCAGGACAGAAAUGUAUGCAUAACAUAGACAUAAACACAAUUGUACUUAUUAUUAUGAUUAGGAGUGCGAAAUUGGAAAGCCAAGGUGAGGGAUAGGAAGCUGAUUCUGGAACAGGUCAAGACCCACCAUGGGUUGCGGAGCCAAUGAUGAUGAUAUUAUGAUUAUACAUGAUAUUACAACGCAAGAGGCCCAAUGAGGUACUUUUCUGUCCCGAUUAGCUAACCGAGGUUUAACGGGGACAUAAGUCCCAUAAUCUAUAAAGUUUUGAGCCAAAAGUAUGUAUUACACUUUCAUUUUCAUGUCAUCAGCAUUUGUUUAUUUAAACAUACUGUCAAAAAAAUUAAUAAAAAAAACACCAUAAAGCUAA
RNAcentral lists this long non-coding RNA (1027 nucleotides) under Diabrotica virgifera virgifera (western corn rootworm). Its description in RNAcentral is "uncharacterized LOC126892649". The record is from RNAcentral. Lineage: Eukaryota; Metazoa; Arthropoda; Insecta; Coleoptera; Chrysomelidae.